GACGAACGCUGGCGGCGUGCUUAACACAUGCAAGUCGAACGGAAAGGCCCUGCUUUUGUGGGGUGCUCGAGUGGCGAACGGGUGAGUAACACGUGAGUAACCUGCCCUUGACUUUGGGAUAACUUCAGGAAACUGGGGCUAAUACCGGAUAGGAGCUCCUGCUGCAUGGUGGGGGUUGGAAAGUUUCGGCGGUUGGGGAUGGACUCGCGGCUUAUCAGCUUGUUGGUGGGGUAGUGGCUUACCAAGGCCUUGACGGGUAGCCGGCCUGAGAGGGUGACCGGCCACAUUGGGACUGAGAUACGGCCCAGACUCCUACGGGAGGCAGCAGUGGGGAAUAUUGCACGAUGGGCGGAAGCCUGAUGCAGCAACGCCGCGUGCGGGAUGACGGCCUUCGGGUUGUAAACCACUUUCGCCUGUGACGAAGCGUGAGUGACGGUAAUGGAUAAAGAAGCACCGGCUAACUACGUG
Molecule: ribosomal RNA, 468 nt
Filed under: uncultured bacterium
Lineage: Bacteria
Description: partial 16S ribosomal RNA
Rfam family: Bacterial small subunit ribosomal RNA
Source: RNAcentral